GUCAGGAUGGCUGAGUGGCCUAAGGCACUACACUUAAGUUCUGGUCUCCAAAUGGAGGCGUGGGUUCACAUCCCACUUCUGUCA
Non-coding RNA from Lamprotornis superbus, 84 nucleotides. NCBI's taxonomy places the organism in Eukaryota, Metazoa, Chordata, Aves, Passeriformes, Sturnidae. The record is from the annotation of a GenBank genome assembly.